Molecule: ribosomal RNA, 373 nt
Filed under: uncultured organism
Description: partial 16S ribosomal RNA
Rfam family: Bacterial small subunit ribosomal RNA
Source: RNAcentral
GUAGGUGGCAAGCGUUGUCCGGAAUUAUUGGGGCGUAAAGCGCGCGCAGGGCGGUCCUUUAAGUCUGAUGUGAAAGCCCGCGGCUCAACCGUGGAGGGUCAUUGGAAACUGGGGGACUUGAGUACAGAAGAGGAAAGCGGAAUUCCAAGUGUAGCGGUGAAAUGCGUAGAGAUUUGGAGGAACACCAGUGGCGAAGGCGGCUUUCUGGUCUGUAACUGACGCUGAGGCGCGAAAGCGUGGGGAGCAAACAGGAUUAGAUACCCUGGUAGUCCACGCCGUAAACGAUGAGUGCUAAGUGUUAGGGGGUUUCCGCCCCUUAGUGCUGCAGCUAACGCAUUAAGCACUCCGCCUGGGGAGUACGGCCGCAAGGCUG